AUACGUAGGGGGCGAGCGUUGUCCGGAGUUAUUGGGCGUAAAGGGCGUGUAGGCGGCCUGUUAAGUCAGGUGUGAAAUUUCAGGGCUUAACCCUGAAACUGCGUUUGAAACUGGCAGGCUUGAGGACAGGAGAGGGAAGUGGAAUUCCCGGUGUAGCGGUGGAAUGCGUAGAUAUCGGGAGGAACACCAGUGGCGAAGGCGGCUUCCUGGACUGUACCUGACGCUGAGGCGCGAAAGCUAGGGGAGCAAACAGGAUUAGAUACCCUGGUAGUCCUAGCCGUAAACGAUGAGUGCUAGGUGUGGGAGGUUAAAAUCCUUCCGUGCCGGAGUUAACGCAAUAAGCACUCCGCCUGGGGAGUACGGCCGCAAGGCUAAA
Molecule: ribosomal RNA, 376 nt
Filed under: uncultured bacterium
Lineage: Bacteria
Description: bacterial SSU rRNA
Rfam family: Bacterial small subunit ribosomal RNA
Source: RNAcentral